AAGUCGUAACAAGGUAACCGUAGGUGAACCUGCGGUUGGAUCAUUAACAGAGCAUCGCUGAGAUCCUGCGCCAUCAAAAGCAAGGGAUCCAGGGAGGGUUGACGGAUUCGGUUCCUCCUCUCCCUGCACAAGCGUCAAACACACCAUGUGAACCCAGAUUUGGCCCUGGCUGGUCUGUCCAUGUCGUCCCAGACAUGUCGCAGGCCCGGGGACAAAGACCAACCUUAUUUUAUCUCCUAUUUCUCUGUCAUUUUUUUCUUUUUCUUUUAUUUGACAAAAGAAAAGCUUGAACAACUUUUGGCAACGGAUCUCUUGGCUCUC
This 321-nucleotide unclassified non-coding RNA is filed under the name fungal sp. Its description in RNAcentral is "partial internal transcribed spacer region". The stretch from base 1 to 46 matches the Rfam family "Eukaryotic small subunit ribosomal RNA", at positions 1786 to 1831 of the family's 1831-position model. The record is from RNAcentral. Lineage: Eukaryota; Fungi.